ACGUUCUGGAAAGACACAGCAGAGAGAGACAGGAAAUGAAAGAGAAAGAGGAGUAGGGUCAGGACAACACUCAAAACUGGAUGACCUGUGGUAGUCUGCUGCCCCAAGCAUUCACUCAGCUGACUAAACUUGUUCCUCUCUGGAGAUGGAUCAGACAGGAGUUAUUUUAUGAGACCUGGAGAGAGAGACGCACUGAUAUCCACACACUAACCCCAGGGCCUGGCCCAGGUGUGACACACAGACAAAGAUUCUCUAUAGUAGACGGAGCCGUGUACUUGGCUUGAAGUAGCUGCUCAUUUGCAGACUGAAUAUGGCCGCUGAGUGAAGUCAUUUGUCUUAAAGGACCUCGAUGACACCUCAGAUCGUGCAGCUUUUUGAGGAAAGAUGGAGGUGAUAGGCGGUUCUGAGGAGGGCGAGAUGGGGGCCUGUUUGUACUGAGGUGGAGGCUGUGAUGGGUGAUGACUGUGGCGGUGCUCCUCUCACUCCAGCUCCCUUGUGACCGGCAGCAAGGCACUCCCAGUGCUCUCACCAGUCAGUCAUGAGGUGGCUGGUGAAGUGUUUCUUCAGGCCGUGUGGACAGGAGGAGCCGCUGCUGGCCUUCAGGACUGGAAAGUAUGCACUCUGUGGCCACAGUCCCACCUCUCAGCCUGGGAACGGAAGCUGGGAGUCGCAAGGGAAAACAAGCAGACAAUCAGUGCCCUGGGCUUUGCAAUGGAUAGCUUUCCCCCACCCUCCUGCUCCGAACGGCCACCCCCACCCCCAGCGCUGAAACCCGGCCAGCCCCAGCUGUCUGUCCAGAUGUGGGAGAGAAGGAGAGGCAAGGUCCAACAGGGGAUGAGGGCCUGAAACACAAAAGGGCUCCAGAGAGAAUGGAGCAAAAAGAGAACCAAGAGAGCUGCGAGAGAGAGAGGAAAAGAGGAAGAUUGAGAGAUGUCAAGGGGAAGUCUGAAUUUGUUCCCAGGGUCUUUAAGUAGAAGGUGAACGAGGAAUGGAAAGGUGUCACGAUGGCUUCCAAUUCAUCUCCGGAUGGUUCCAAAUGAGAGGAUCAAUGACACCAGACUGUGCCUUCUUCAAAAGUCAGUGCAAUCAAGUCUGAUCUCAUGAUCUCAGUGGACUGGAACAAAGCCUAUCCCAAAGAGCACACACUUGGCAUAGUCGUAUCCAUAUAGUUGUUCCUGCUUGCCUGUGCAGGUCCUUCCAGGCCGGUCCUGAUUUAUGAACGGCCCCUGAGCUCUCUCUCCAUCCUGGAGGGGCUCUCUGAUUAGAGAUGGAGAAGAGAGGGCGAGUGCAAACACUCAUGCAUCCACUCACACACCCGAGCAUUUGGUUCUAAUUACACACGGGGCGACUCCAGGGCCGGGUGUCAUCUAGAACACAGAGCUAGAUUUACACUUGACAUGUUUUAUUCACACAGGUUGGUCCUGGCCUGGUAAUUGCAACAUAUUAUCUGGGCCGAUUCAUCAAAGGGAGCAGCUUGCUACAGUAAACUUUUAAAUGAACGACUCAUAUGGGUCGCAGACGUGAAAAGUGGAAGGUUUUAUUAGCAAAAAAAGAGUGAACCAACAAGUACAGUCCAAAUGCUUGGGAGAAAGAGGUGUCCGUGAAACGUUUAUGCCUUUUUUGGGAAAUGAGAAAUAGCCUCUGUUUUUGCGGAUCAAGAUUGAGGUUUGAUCAGCCAUCAUUUUGUGGCAGUAAUUUAGGUCAUGGUUUAGACGUCUUAAAACCAAAAUGUGGCACAUCAGAUGAGAAUAUCCCUUCUGUUACGGUUGUUAGCCAAGGGCUACCCCUUGCUGAUUUAACAGGAGUGUUAAUAUGUGAAGCCAGUAAACACGCUAGUGGAAGCAGAGACUUUAACACGCUGCCCUGCGCUUAAUGCACUUAAUGCCUUAAUGCACAGCAAUGAAUUGAAACUGAGGGGAGAUGCAGUAAUUGUGUUAUUUGGACAUUUGCAUUUAGCAAACACUUUUAUCCGAAGGGACUUAAGAUGAGGACAAUAGAAGCAAUCAAAGCCAACAAAAUGGCAAGUGCUAUGUCAGGUGUUUUCAUAUAAUAAAAAGAAAAGUAGAUAGAAUAGAAAAAGCGUACAACGGUAUUUCUGUGGUGAACAAAUCAUUUGUGUGUUUGCCUUUGUAAUCUUUAAUCCAAAUCUGGGAACAGUAAUUGUAAACGCCUGUGAAAGUUAUGUUGUGCCUCUUUCCUCUUUGGGAUGGCACCAGAAUACACUAUUCAUUUGGAGAACACAUGCAUCUCAAGAGCGAAUAAGGCACAUAACAUUUUUACACACAGACAGACAGAUAGAUAGAUUGACUAGCUUCACUAUAUGGGAUCCAUCUGUAGCUUGAUUGUAUGUACUCUAAACAUCUUUAAUGAAGUAGAGAGGAAGACUCCUCUGUGAACCUGGCCUUCAAAAGCACCCCCCUCUUACAGUCUAAUCCUACUGUAAUGAUUUGGGUCUCGUUACAUCUAGUGUCCGUCCCCCACGGCAUUCCGCCCGAGCCCCCCCACGGAGCAUGACAUCACAGUACAAGCUAAGGCCGGAAAUGCGACAGGUCCCGCCACACGCAACAUGCGAGAUGCAACCCUCGACACGUACGAUGCACAUCGCGCCGCCGGGAAACCCAGGGACACAGAGGCACAGGCUUGAUGGACAAACCAGACCCACCGCACACACAUGUACAUUCUUGCGAGAGGAAAAUGGUAACAGUCAGUCCUGUGCAGUAAAAUAGAAUGGUGCACCUUCAUUGUUCUGGCCUCUGGACUCUGGCCUUGCUUCCUGACACCUUCCGUUUGGGCUCGCACACAGAUGGCCAUGGAUGUACAGGAACAAGUGCGCCCACUCCGCCUGUCCAGACCCAAAUAGAGAGGUAUAGACGCUUAUAUGUGGCCAAGGAGAGGUUAAGGACUUCUCGCUGACCUGGUGUGUGUGAUGCUAUUAGUGUAACGCUGUCUGUAGCCUCAGAUCGGAUGAAUCCCUUGUUAUCCCAUGCAGGGAGCAUUCUAUAUCAGGAAAACUCAUGGAGACACUUAAUGCGUGUGUUUUUAUGUAAGUUUGUGAGGAGUCGCGGGGGUGUCACUGUCUGACAGGAUGCACGGGUCAACUGUCUACGUGUGAGUGCAGCCGGGCCUGGGCCAGCAGGUCAGGGUUGGGCAGCCCACAGGAAACGGCCAAGACAUUCUGGCCCAGUGCAGGGGGACUUAACCCUUGAACUGCCAACUUGGCUGCGCUCUUAAUGUUGCCGGAACUUGCUCCUCCUCGGCCUGGGUGUGACAGUCCAGCCUUUCAGACUGGAAACAAUGUGGAGCAGCACCUUCAUCAUGUAACGCAGCACCUCUGUGUCCCUGCCACAAUGCCUCGUUCUCCCUGCGAAAGUCCAUCGGCCUCUCUAGAGUGCAGUAAGGAAGAGAGGUCUGUAGCGCGUAUGUGGCCACGAGGACACUGCGCACUGGAAUACAGGGACAGGAAGUGCCUCUCCGAGUGGAGGAAUUCUCAGAUGGUGGGGUCUGAGGGAAAGGUUGACGUUUUCGGAAAGGCAACAAUGUCGUGAUGUGCCAUCGACCGCGUGCAGAACACAUUUACGUUGUUUUUUAUAAAUAGGUCACAGAUGAGUCACUCGCAUCAGUACUUCAGGAUAGACGUCUGCUUACUUCCUGGUGCCACGCAGAGGGCAUCGCUGCUCAAGAGCCCCCUAGAUAGCGGGCUAAACUUAAGCAGGGCCCAUCCUGUUUUGGGAUUCUGCCGUAACCUUGAGCGUUUCGACUUUUUCCUGCAUCUCUCCAAAACAGUCAGCUGUUAUCAUUCCAGCGUCGUGCUUGUACCCCACACCACGAUGCUGGCCGCUCGCUCUGAUGCUUUACUCCGCAUCUGUUUGCGUCUGAGGGAGAUGUUUUCGACUGUAUAAAUUGUGCCUUUCUCGUCCGUCUUACUGAUGGCUGCGUUCCAACUCUCAGCUUUAGCCAGUGAGGGCUUUCUUGGUUUCACAUCCCUCUUCAGCCAAACACAAACACACACGUCCGGCCAGCCUGACCCGAGCUAUCUCUCCGCCUGCGAGUGCCAGACGCACACACAUACACACACGCCCUGGACCCUCCUGCUCUUCCCACGUUCCUCCUCUCCCUCUUUCGUCUGUUCUUCUCUCUCUUCUCUGCUUGCGUUUCCUUCUCUCCCUUCCUCUGCCUCAGCACCCUUGUACAUCUCAUUGUCUCUGGUCUCUUCAUCUUUCUCCACUUCCUGUGUCUUGCACCCCGUGCCCUCUCACGCCCCCUCUUUCAAGCUCCCCCCGUUUCUCUCCACAUCUCUCUCUCUUCGCGACGUGACUUUUAGCACAGACUUUGGGGCUGUUGCCAGUAAUCUGGGGCAGAGAGAUGAGCGGACGAACACACACACACAUACACAGACGCAUGCAGAUAUAAUAGGGCACACUCUAAUGUUUCUUCCAUAUACACUCAUUAGUUAUUAGCUAACAAGAGUACAGUCGAUUGUAGUAUUUAAGGAAUAUUGUAGAUUAGACUCCAUCGGCGGAGUCUGUGGACUACUGUUGGUCAAAACUGAAAAUGAAAAUUGUUAACAAUAACACUCCAUUAAAACAAGUGUUAUGGUUAUACUUUUGCAACAACCAUAGCCGUUGUAGACAUGUUUUACAAACUGAGGGAUGAGUCAACUUUUUUUCUUUUUUUUUUUUUUUUUUGUAUAAUUGACAGCAGAGCACAGAUUUUACUCCAGAAUAUGACAUUAGUGUGCAUUUAUAUUAUAGUUUUGUUGUUAUUUGCUUUAUGCAUAUUUAUAAAAAUGUAUGUAAAUACUGUUACGUAUGUUUAUAUUUACAAAGUAUAUUAAAUGAAUAUUAAAUAUGUGGAUAGUAUAUAAAACCUCUCAUGUAUGACUGUGUAACUUGAAAUUAGUUUAGAUAUUCAGUGUAUAAAAUACACAGGCAUAUUCAUAUUUGUAUUUCUAAGUGUAUCAUAGUGUA
Puntigrus tetrazona (Sumatra barb) is the source of this 4967-nucleotide long non-coding RNA. RefSeq lists it as uncharacterized. Lineage: Eukaryota; Metazoa; Chordata; Actinopteri; Cypriniformes; Cyprinidae. The transcript has 7 exons. The record is from RefSeq and is a predicted model, not a curated record.